This is a non-coding RNA of Podarcis lilfordi (Lilford's wall lizard), 4318 nucleotides long. Lineage: Eukaryota; Metazoa; Chordata; Lepidosauria; Squamata; Lacertidae. The record is from the annotation of a GenBank genome assembly.
UAUUUAUCUCCACUGGGCAUUACUGUUAGGAAUAGAGAAAAGCCAAGGAGAUGUUUUGUCUCGUGGCUGGGGAUGGCUGGUGUUGUUCAGUAGGUAAGGAUGCUCCCUAACCUUCCUUGCUUGUAUGAGUGCUUGCAUGCGUUAGCUUGUACAUCUCGAGCUAACUUUUUGUCUAGGCUGGUAGCGUUUGCAAAAAAAUAAAUAAAUGUGUCUGUUUGGUUAACACUGAUCUCCGCGUUGGGACUUUGCCCGGAGUUGUCCUAACGCUUGAUCUUCGCCCACCCUUUCCCCCCUUAAGUAUCCCUCCCGCCCGCGUGGAGCAGACACGCGCUCACAGAUUCCAAAUUUCAAAAAUUGCGAGGAGUGAUCUAGCGAGGACACGUGCUAAAGAGAGCGAGGAGGCUGGGGUUCCACGGACUUCCGGGGGUGGUGGAAGAAGAUUAUACACCACACCAGCUCAAUCUUUUCUUCCUUUCCGCGGGGAGAAGGAUGGGUCAGUGAUGGGGAUGAACGGUGCUGUUGGAUAGCCCUCGUGGCUCCAACUCGCAUCAGCAUCUUUGGAGGACUUAUGGGUUUGGGAAGAGUUAAUCCGGAGAGCAUUUCUCUCCAACCGCCCCCCCCCCCCCGCAUCCCCAAGCAGGAGCAAAUCCAAGACUUUCCUCUUUGCAAAUUUCAGACUUUGGCCUUUGCUCCGGUGUCAUGGAACCAUCUGAUUUCGCAAGCCGCGCCUCUGCUUCAUUCCCCCCCCCCUUCAUUUUUCUUCUUCCGAUACCCGAUUUCCCCACCCACCUCCCAUCGAUGGAUAUGCGAGAGGGUCAAAAUGUUAAGAAAAGUUGCCAAUUGCCAGCCACUGGCAGCCCGCUUCCCGCGUCUCCCCUCCCCUGCCGUCAAUGGCUUUGCAUAGUAACAAAUAAAGUUUUGCCUUAAAAGAUGUCCCAAGUUUUAAAUGAACUGCUUUUGAAGAAAUAGCGACAGAGUCCCUUAAUAUUAUUUAUCCAGAUCCUCUUUGGAAAUGGGUGGCGAUCUAUUCAUUUAAUACGCAAAAUAAUAAUAACAGUAUUAAUAAUAAUCGCGUGUCGUUUCUCUCUUUUGGAGGGGAGACGGGGGCGGGGGAAGGAAUGUCGCCAAAAACAAACACAACGCCGAAAAGCUGCGCGAAGUGAAAAAAUCCUGCUUGAAUGGGUUCCGUUUAAACCUCGACAGCGCCACCUUUCGGCACAGAUCGGUUUCGAGUUGAACCGCUUCCAAUUUUUUAGAUGAAGGGGGGGAAAUCCAUAAAAUAAAAGCCCUUUUUAAAAAAGAGAGAGAAAAAGGAAAGUUUAGAGCUGGCAGCGCUUGCACGACAGCCUGACAUUAACCCCUCGAAGUCAAUGGAUUCUCGAAGCUAUAAACCUCUAUAAUUUCUCUAUUUAGGAUGCAGCCUGCAGUAUUUUUCUAGGAAGUGAGAAGGAAAGGGGAUUGUUCCUGGUAGCGGUGUCUGUUCCAGGGAUGUGUGUGUGAGAGAGGGAGAGAGAUAAGACAAAAAUCUUUAAAACUGCCAGCCUUGAUUUUCAACUGACUUUAUGGCAACAUCAAUAGAAUUAAAGUUACUUGUAAUUCAGUGAUAAAUGAGAUGUCUCUAGUAAGUAAGAUUAAGUGCAGUGCUAUAAAGUUGUUUAUCUGAAAAGUAAUUCUCAGAAACCCGACUCCUGACACUUAGUCAUAUAUUAAACCAGCCUUUUGAACAUUGUACUUCAGUGCAAUGGCUUCUGCAUGUUUUCAGAAUUUCCUGUUUAAAAUUUUAUACUAAGUAGCUGUUUGUAGAGGCUUCUCAUCUGACUUCGAAGUCCUCAUUCCCAGUAGUAACAAAAUCCCAGGUUGGUAAAGAAAGUAUGUGGUUUGCGUAUUCUGACAUAUCUCAGCCUUUGCAGUCAGGAUUUUUAAUAUCAAGGUAUGCCACAUAUGUCAUCCACAGACUUUUACACAAGACUUUUGAGUGUGUCACAAGUUGAUAACAAAGCUAAUGCUAAUUAUUGGGGGUCACUAUAAGGGAAUAAUGUAAAAGCUGAGGUCUCAGGUGAAACUUGAGAAAACAGUAUUUAUGAGAAAGUUAAUAGGAUGUGUCCAGUUUGAUUUCCCAUUUUGGAGGACUUGGUAGGAAUUGUCAACAAAAACUACUCACUCAUCCCCAUAAAUCUCAACCACGACAGUCUAAUUCCUUCUAUUUGGUUUUUCCCGGAGCAAGAUGAAUGUUGCACGAUAGAUCACUUAGCUCCUUCCCUCCCAUGAAUCACAGCCAUGUGUGAAUACUUUUAAAUGAAAACUUAUUGCUCUUUGGCAAUUCACACUUGCAGCAAUUGCAUGGAAUUAGAAACAUCUCCUCAGUGGGAGGGGCACAAAAACAAAACCAGUCUCUUUGGGACAGAGGCAUUUUAACAUGCUAUAUCUCCAGAAUUAGUGUGUCCCCCCCCCCACAAACCUGAGUAAGCUUUGAAAGCUAAAACAGGGAAUUCAAAGUACUGUGUUGUGUGGCUAACAGAAUCUGAGCUGAUAUUUAGCAAUGCAAAUAAGUGCUGUAAACUCAACUGGGCUCUGGCCCCCAAAAUAUCAAAUCAAAUUACUGGUUAUGCCAGAUUAUCCUUAUUUGACUCUUAGAGGUGACGGGACUGUCAAAUGUUGUCUAUUAUGUAGCACACCAUGGGGACUGUGACCAGUUUUAAAGAAAACCUUUGGAAGGAAGACCACGACUGUCCUCUUUCCUGCAACAUAUAAUUCUCAUUUUGGCAGCAUUUUCCUGUAUUAUUUAGCUUCUCACAAUGGAUGUCUAAACAUUUACAGUUCUCUAUUAGGAGUGUUUCUUCUCUAACAAUUGCACACUUUCAUUUCAAUUAGAGGCAUUCAACCCUCUGUCUUUCUGCAGCAAUGACAGGCCAAAUCCCCUCAGUCUGCCCCCCCUUGCUAUUUUUUGUUUGCUUGAAGUCUUUCUAUCAAUCUACAAUCACUAACGCCCUGCUUUAAUAUUCUCCUUUUCAAGAAUUGCCCUCUUGAAGAAAGCACAGUUUAAAAUUGGGGUUCCACAUGCUAACUUCAGUUACUUAAAAACCUCCUGAAUUGGAGUAGAUGCAUGCAUGUAUGUCCGUGUUUGUAUAUAUCUGUUUAUCUCUACUUAUAUUUAUUUUCUGCAGAAAAGUACAAACGAUUCAAUGCACUAUGUAACACUGUCAGUGUACCAUCCCUGCCUCAGUGAGGGGGGCAGGGGAAGCCUCAAGUGCAUAUGAAAGACUUCCUUAGCUGAGUAAACAAGCAGAGGAGGGUUUAGAAAGUAGGCAAUACACCUCUUGUGAGUUAUAUUGACUUUGAGUGUCAUUUGUUAUGACUUAAACAAACUCAUCUAUCAAGGCCAGCACAUUAAGUACAGUUACUGCACCUUUUGUUUAUCCAGUGUCUUAUUUUAUGGCGCAGAACUGAAUGGUGUCCGCUGAAUUUAAGUAUGAAAAGCAACCAAAUUGAUUUCCCAAAGACUUCCACGGGGUAACAAAAGGCGAAGGCAUCAACAGCUCUUAGGCACAGAGCUAGAUAAAUCCUUUUAACAGUGCUUCGGAUCCGUUAAAGGGGCAAGCAAAUAACAAAUCACUGUUAGCAGAUUUAUGAGAAAGAAAUAAUAGAAUCAGACGAGAUAAUCUGAUAGGGGUAAAAUUGCUGAGGAAACAAGUCUUACUUCACAUACAUAGCGAUGAAACAGCAGCCUGAUAACUAGAAGCCAUCACAAAUAGGUGAAUUAUGAUGGAAAUAAUCAUCCCUGUAAUUCAGUAUUUAUUAAUCCUUUUCUUUUUAAACAACUCACAGAUGUCCAAGCAAUGCGUCUCUCUCUUUGAAGAUCCAUUAAUCACACACACAUAUUUAUUGGGUGUAAUUUACUAUUUGUAUCACCUGUUUUUUCCCCCAUAAUUGAACAUUCUGCAUUCAAAUUUAUGUAAUGCAUUAGGCCUGCAAACAUAUUUCUGCCUGAUUAGCAUAAAUAGUCACUUCAUGAAUUACUAACAAAGUUGAUCUGGAAAAUAUUGGCGUAUUAUUUUAUUAAGUGGAACACAAACAUAUGUCCAAUAAAUUCUUGUUUUCUGGUGGCAGGAAGGAAUACAGAAUGAUCCAGGCGGUGGUGUCUCAGUGUGGGGAAGAGGAAAGACUAAGCUGAGUUAAUUUGUAUGUAUGAAAUUAAUUUGCCCUGUCAACCCUUCUGUUUAUCUUUAAUAAAGAGGAAUGCCCAUGUCUGUUUCAGAGGCAUGAAUCAUGAGACAACAAAAGGCAGCAGUUAUAUACACACAUAUAUUUGUGAUUUCCC